GGAUGAACGCUGGCGGCGUGCCUAAUACAUGCAAGUCGAGCGAACAGAUAAGGAGCUUGCUCCUUUGACGUUAGCGGCGGACGGGUGAGUAACACGUGGGUAACCUACCUAUAAGACUGGGAUAACUUCGGGAAACCGGAGCUAAUACCGGAUAAUAUUUCGAACCGCAUGGUUCGAUAGUGAAAGAUGGUUUUGCUAUCACUUAUAGAUGGACCCGCGCCGUAUUAGCUAGUUGGUAAGGUAACGGCUUACCAAGGCGACGAUACGUAGCCGACCUGAGAGGGUGAUCGGCCACACUGGAACUGAGACACGGUCCAGACUCCUACGGGAGGCAGCAGUAGGGAAUCUUCCGCAAUGGGCGAAAGCCUGACGGAGCAACGCCGCGUGAGUGAUGAAGGUCUUCGGAUCGUAAAACUCUGUUAUUAGGGAAGAACAUACGUGUAAGUAACUAUGCACGUCUUGACGGUACCUAAUCAGAAAGCCACGGCUAACUACGUGCCAGCAGCCGCGGUAAUACGUAGGUGGCAAGCGUUAUCCGGAAUUAUUGGGCGUAAAGCGCGCGUAGGCGGUUUUUUAAGUCUGAUGUGAAAGCCCACGGCUCAACCGUGGAGGGUCAUUGGAAACUGGAAAACUUGAGUGCAGAAGAGGAAGUGGAAUUUCCAUGUGUAGCGGUGAAAUGCGCAGAGAUAUGGAGGAACACCAGUGGCGAAGGCGACUUUCUGGUCUGUAACUGACGCUGAUGUGCGAAAGCGUGGGGAUCAAACAGGAUUAGAUACCCUGGUAGUCCACGCCGUAAACGAUGAGUGCUAAGUGUUAGGGGGUUUCCGCCCCUUAGUGCUGCAGCUAACGCAUUAAGCACUCCGCCUGGGGAGUACGACCGCAAGGUUGAAACUCAAAGGAAUUGACGGGGACCCGCACAAGCGGUGGAGCAUGUGGUUUAAUUCGAAGCAACGCGAAGAACCUUACCAAAUCUUGACAUCCUUUGACAACUCUAGAGAUAGAGCCUUCCCCUUCGGGGGACAAAGUGACAGGUGGUGCAUGGUUGUCGUCAGCUCGUGUCGUGAGAUGUUGGGUUAAGUCCCGCAACGAGCGCAACCCUUAAGCUUAGUUGCCAUCAUUAAGUUGGGCACUCUAAGUUGACUGCCGGUGACAAACCGGAGGAAGGUGGGGAUGACGUCAAAUCAUCAUGCCCCUUAUGAUUUGGGCUACACACGUGCUACAAUGGACAAUACAAAGGGCAGCGAAACCGCGAGGUCAAGCAAAUCCCAUAAAGUUGUUCUCAGUUCGGAUUGUAGUCUGCAACUCGACUACAUGAAGCUGGAAUCGCUAGUAAUCGUAGAUCAGCAUGCUACGGUGAAUACGUUCCCGGGUCUUG
RNAcentral lists this ribosomal RNA (1375 nucleotides) under uncultured Staphylococcus sp. RNAcentral's name for it is "bacterial SSU rRNA". It matches the Rfam family "Bacterial small subunit ribosomal RNA", at positions 27 to 1383 of the family's 1533-position model. The record is from RNAcentral. Lineage: Bacteria; Bacillati; Bacillota; Bacilli; Caryophanales; Staphylococcaceae.